GGCUCAGAUUGAACGCUGGCGGCAUGCCUUACACAUGCAAGUCGAACGGUAACAGGUCUUCGGAUGCUGACGAGUGGCGAACGGGUGAGUAAUACAUCGGAACGUGCCCAGUAAUGGGGGAUAGCUCGGCGAAAGCCGGAUUAAUACCGCAUACGCCCUGAGGGGGAAAGUGGGGGAUCGCAAGACCUCACGUUAUUGGAGCGGCCGAUGGCUGAUUAGCUAGUUGGUAGGGUAAAGGCCUACCAAGGCGACGAUCAGUAGCUGGUCUGAGAGGACGAUCAGCCACACUGGGACUGAGACACGGCCCAGACUCCUACGGGAGGCAGCAGUGGGGAAUUUUGGACAAUGGGGGAAACCCUGAUCCAGCAAUGCCGCGUGUGCGAAGAAAGCCUUCGGGUUGUAAAGCACUUUUGUCAGGGAAGAAAUCCUUUGGGCUAAUACCCUAGGGGGAUGACGGUACCUGAAGAAUAAGCACCGGCUAACUACGUGCCAGCAGCCGCGGUAAUACGUAGGGUGCAAGCGUUAAUCGGAAUUACUGGGCGUAAAGCGUGCGCAGGCGGUUGUGUAAGACAGGUGUGAAAUCCCCGGGCUUAACCUGGGAAUUGCAUUUGUGACUGCACGACUAGAGUGUGUCAGAGGGGGGUGGAAUUCCACGUGUAGCAGUGAAAUGCGUAGAUAUGUGGAGGAACACCAAUGGCGAAGGCAGCCCCCUGGGAUAACACUGACGCUCAUGCACGAAAGCGUGGGGAGCAAACAGGAUUAGAUACCCUGGUAGUCCACGCCCUAAACGAUGUCAACUAGUUGUUGGGGAUUUACUUCCUUGGUAACGUAGCUAACGCGUGAAGUUGACCGCCUGGGGAGUACGGCCGCAAGGUUAAAACUCAAAGGAAUUGACGGGGACCCGCACAAGCGGUGGAUGAUGUGGAUUAAUUCGAUGCAACGCGAAAAACCUUACCUACCCUUGACAUGGCAGAAACUUUCCAGAGAUGGAUUGGUGCUCGAAAGAGAACCUGCACACAGGUGCUGCAUGGCUGUCGUCAGCUCGUGUCGCGAGAUGUUGGGUUAAGUCCCGCAACGAGCGCAACCCUUGUCAUUAGUUGCUACGAAAGGGCACUCUAAUGAGACUGCCGGUGACAAACCGGAGGAAGGUGGGGAUGACGUCAAGUCCUCAUGGCCCUUAUGGGUAGGGCUUCACACGUCAUACAAUGGUCGGUACAGAGGGUUGCCAAGCCGCGAGGUGGAGCCAAUCCCAGAAAACCGAUCGUAGUCCGGAUCGCAGUCUGCAACUCGACUGCGUGAAGUCGGAAUCGCUAGUAAUCGCGGAUCAGAAUGCCGCGGUGAAUACGUUCCCGGGUCUUGUACACACCGCCCGUCACACCAUGGAAGUGGGUUCUACCAGAAGUGGCUAGUCUAACCGCAAGGAGGACGGUCACCACGGUAGGAUUCA
Molecule: ribosomal RNA, 1447 nt
Filed under: uncultured organism
Description: SSU rRNA
Rfam family: Bacterial small subunit ribosomal RNA
Source: RNAcentral